AGUACAGGUGUGGCCAAUUAGUGCGCCGGGUGGCUGUGGAAAGCACGGACCUGUUUGUGCAGGAUAAGAAGAUUUGGGGAGAGUCUCCCUGACCUGCACAGGGCUCUGAGCUGUGAGUUGUGGUGCAGCCGAGUCCUGAUUUGAACCAGACUGAUGAAUGCGCUGUAGCUCCAUGCUGAAGAGGCAGUGAGAAGACCUGUGGGGAGUGUUUCUGGUAUACACACCCCUCCCUCCAUGCCAUGUCAAGGGGGGCGGUCACCUUAUCAUCUAGUUUUACCUUGAAUCUACCUCAGCCUACAGAGGCAAAUAAAACUUCUUCCAACAAAGUUUACUUUAAUGAAAUAUUGGAAUUACUGGAAUCCCUUACACCUAUAUACACACCCUGCCCACGGGAGACGUGCUGAGGAGGCGAGGAGGAAAGUCAAGGAGAGAGGAGGCGAUGCAACAGGCAUUCAACAAAAUGAGACAUCCUCGCUCGCUCCAGCCCUCAUUUUACUUAUGACAAAUUUCACAUCUGUAAGUUAUUACUGUCAUUUCUUCUGCCAAAUCAUGUUGUCAAAAUCUGAAGUGCUCUUAAAGAAAUACAAAAAAUCAUCCCAUAUCCCGACUGCAAAUCUUUUAUUU
Myripristis murdjan (pinecone soldierfish) is the source of this 624-nucleotide long non-coding RNA. RefSeq lists it as uncharacterized. Lineage: Eukaryota; Metazoa; Chordata; Actinopteri; Holocentriformes; Holocentridae. The record is from RefSeq and is a predicted model, not a curated record. The transcript is spliced from 3 exons.